CAAUUUGAUAAAACCUUCAUUGUAAUGAAUGACAAAGGUAACAACAACAACUUAUCCAAUGCCAGAUAAACGUUUUUUCCAACCUGAGCAUCAUCUCUGUUAAAACAAUAAAUUUUCUCUUUUGCAGCUUGUAUAGGAUUGUUGUACCCUUUCUUUGACCAGAAAUUAGGAGAGCCACUUGUGUAUAAAAGAGAAUGGUCAAGUGUGAUGAGAUGUGUAGCAGUGUUUGUAGGAAUCAACCAUGCUAGUGCUGUAUCCUUUAUAUAUAGUUCUUCAUAAUAUCAUGAAUAUACAUGCACAUGUACAUUUGUACAUGUGUAUUGUGAAAUUUACAUUUCCAGGAAGAUGUUUUCACCAGUAUUUCUGGUCAUUUUUCUAUAAUUUUAGUUUUUAUCAAUAUAUCUUUGUAAUUGUGAAAUUCUUAAAUAUGAAAUUUGGAUAAAAACAAAUUGAAAACACCUUAUUUGAUGCAUUCUGUGUAAUAUUUUCAAAAGCAUUCAUGUACAAUUAAUGUACAAGAAAAUGUAUGUAUUCACUCAAAUAUUGUGAUUAACUAUUGAAAAUUGAUAUAAUAAUCAAACAAAUUGGGGAAUAAUAUUUUCAAUUUUCUAUGUAUGAAAUUACCCAAAUUAGAUUUUUGAAAUGAUAAUCUUUAAGGUUUGUUAAUGCUGAUUCAACAUUUUUAUAUGUUAAAAAUAAAAAUAAAAUAGUUGAUUUUGGUAAUGUUAUGAGUACCUCCUCUAGUCAUGAUAGUUAAAAUUUUCCCCAUUAGUUUUUAUUAACAGUUAAACUAUUCAGAAUAAAUUCUUUUUAUCGUUUUCUUUAAACUGUCUGUUGACGUGUUAAUUGUUUUGCCAUUUUUUAAUGCUGAGUACCAAUGUAUGUUAUAGAUUUUUUCCUUAACCUUGUAUUAGAGAUUAGACUUCGCUGACAAUUUCCAACUAUCAUUGACACUUGCAGCAAUGUCUAUAGGUCUGUGGUGGUUAUUUGACAGAUCUGGCAGUGGCUUUAGUUUGGGAGUUGGCAUUGCUGUCCUGGCUACAUUUAUGACUCAACUAGUUGUUUAUUCUGGAAUUUACAGGUA
Molecule: long non-coding RNA, 1084 nt
Filed under: Mytilus galloprovincialis (Mediterranean mussel)
Lineage: Eukaryota; Metazoa; Mollusca; Bivalvia; Mytilida; Mytilidae
Source: RNAcentral